UAAUCUUCAAAAUCUGAAGAUAAUUAGAUCGGCUUAGCUGCUCAAGCCGCAAAUCCCCUUUCUCUCUCCUAUACCAAAUCGAAUUCAUUUAUUUACAUUUAAUUUUUUUUCUAUCUCCACAAAAUCGAGAGAAUUUCAUCUUCCACACAUGAUUUGCUUCAAUUUUUGCAGAAAGGGAAAAAAGAACCCUGAUUUUCGCAUUGCAUAUGUUGGAGACGACAAGAACAAAUAUCAGACCGAUGAAGGUGUUUUUCGAAUAUUUGGCUUUGAGAGCACGUAGCUUAACCUUGCCCAAGCUGCUGCUGAGAGCUUCAUGAGCCCAACGGCGUGUAACUUAAUGUGGCGAUCCCGUCUCAUUUUUGGAAACAAUGAACACGCUCUAUGCUUCCUAAAUCCUUUGCUUGCUUUGAAGGUUUAUUUUAUCAGGACGUAGACUAUUUUAAUUUUUUCCCUUUUUUGAACUGCAGCUGGUCUAGCCCUCUGCUUUUUGAUACUGUAUUGUAAUUUAACAAACAUAUAGUAGUAUAUUAUUUAUGUUUAUAUAGUUAAUUACGAGCAGGCCACACACAAAGAUUAGUACCUAUAAAGCAGAAAGCAUUGUAAAUUAAGAUCAUGUGCAUAUGUGAAGCUGUUGUUUCCCAUUUCUAUUACGAUGCCUUUGAAAUUGUUGGCUGGAAGACUUUUGGUUGUUAUGCAAUGGCACUUGAGUUGUGUGUUUGUAGUCAAAUCAUAGUUCAAUGGGAUCGAGUUUGUUCACCAUUUUGGUUGUUAUGUUGAUUGUCUCUGACAUUGUUACACCAUUUAGUUGAGAAUUUAUGUCAUUCAUUUCCAACUGAUAAUAUGCCUUCACUUCUAUGCCAUUUCAUGUAUCUCAAUCUUAUCAUUCUUGUAAAGUAUGACUAAUCAACGAUUCAACAUUCAUUUCAUCUGGAAAAAUAUUGUUGUGAUUUCUGCAGAAGGGGAAAAAAGGGUUCUUUUUGGAUUAGCUACAACACCAGCACACUUUGAGGACAGACUCAAUGAUGUUCGGCUUCAGUUGGCAGAAGAAAUGCCGUGUGAUCACCCGCAGUCAAAACAAGGUAGGGAACCAGCUGCUGCUACGAGGCUCGGUAUAUUUGAUGGGAAUUCUGCAGCAACGGAUGGGUUAAGUCCUAAUGACCCCGAUUGUUUCUGCCGCUUGGGAAUGGACUUCAUCAUUUGAAGAGAAAUGCCUGUUCAAUUUACCCAGACAAGUUGUUUCCUCGACUACACCAUGAAUGAAUGGGGAUGAAUUCUAUUAAUAAAGAAAAGGAUCAUGAGCUUGCUUUUGAUGUUGGUGUUAGUUCUUUGAUGCUUUUGCCUUUGUUCUUAACAUGUGAAUUCACAAAUCUUAAUGGGAAAAUCAUUACGUCUCUUUGCUUCA
This is a long non-coding RNA of Salvia miltiorrhiza (redroot sage), 1402 nucleotides long. RefSeq lists it as uncharacterized. The record is from RefSeq and is a predicted model, not a curated record. Lineage: Eukaryota; Viridiplantae; Streptophyta; Magnoliopsida; Lamiales; Lamiaceae. The transcript has 2 exons.